Molecule: small RNA, 29 nt
Filed under: Bombyx mori (domestic silkworm)
Lineage: Eukaryota; Metazoa; Arthropoda; Insecta; Lepidoptera; Bombycidae
Description: ovarian small RNA-21931
Source: RNAcentral
UAGACGCCUAAGGGGACGCCUCCACCACC